UGUAGCUGGAAUUCUGAGACCCUGUCCCGCAGUGAUGAAGAAUGAAAUCACAGAUGAAGGAGGUCAUGCAAACUGCUGCACACAAGGCACCUUGAGGAGAAGGGCAGGAACUCAAAAGAGGUUCAACCGCAGAGUACUGAGUUCCUUUGAAUUGUUGAUGGAACUUUGGGUUGUUUCCAGUUUGGGGCCAUUCCAAGUAAAUCUGUGCAUGAGAACCCAGUUGUGGCACCUUUUCACCAACAUUUAAGGUAGUGUGUCUCUUUAAUUUAGCUAUCCUUAUACAUGUGCAGUGGUAUCUCAUUGUGGUUUUAUUUGUAUUUCCCUAAUGAAUAAUGACUU
Molecule: long non-coding RNA, 339 nt
Organism: Heterocephalus glaber (naked mole-rat)
Lineage: Eukaryota; Metazoa; Chordata; Mammalia; Rodentia; Bathyergidae
Source: RefSeq, a predicted model, not a curated record